This is a long non-coding RNA of Brassica rapa (field mustard), 5691 nucleotides long. RefSeq lists it as uncharacterized. The record is from RefSeq and is a predicted model, not a curated record. Lineage: Eukaryota; Viridiplantae; Streptophyta; Magnoliopsida; Brassicales; Brassicaceae.
AUCCAGUGGUGAAGAACAGACUGCAAUGAAAGCGUAGACGAUCUAGUGGUGAAGAACAACGACGGCGAAUCAGUUAAAGCAUCAUCGUGUCGGGAAAAAGAGAGGAGAUGAAGAUGAUCUCUAUAUGGUGGUGAACGAAAUGAAUGUGUAUCAGCCUGUCUAAAAAAAGAAGAAUUGAAGAAGAUGAAUUCGCCGUCUAUACUAUAUUUCGUGAAAUGAAUAGUAUAGUAUAUAUUUUUAAGUAUAGCUACUUAUGUACGGUUACCAUACUAUUUGAGACAUAUUUCUAUACUACUCCUUAAAAAUGUAAUAAUAUAUCAUGUUUUUAAAUUUGAUAGGUCUCUUCUUUGUCAAUUUGUGUGAUUGAUUGUAAUAUGAAAUUCAUUUUUCGAGUGUUGGACAAAUUUGAUUAUUUGGAACAUUCGUUAAGUAUACUACUUAGACUAUAUGGAAUAUAAGAUAUGCAAUAUGCUAACCAAGUAAAUGUGAUUUCAAGUGUUAAAUAUUGGAAAACAAUGUAUAUAUUGUAUUUGGGUUUAUAGGUUCCUGCCUAGGGUUUAGAUUUACUAAGUAAAGGUUUGGGUAUAGUAAACCAUAUUAUAUACAUUCUAUUUGGGUUUAUACUUCCUUGAUUAGGGUUUAGCUUAAUCUAUUUAUUUAGGUUUAGGGUAUAUUUGGAUUAGGGUUUAGUGAUUAGAAUGUAAGGUUUAGUAUUUAGAAGGUGAGAGGGUAUGGUUGGGAUGAACAUUAACUUCUUUCAUGCAAUCAUAGAUAUUUUAUAGUUUCACCAAUAUGUACUAUGUUAUUUAUUUUGUUCCAUUCUAUUUGGGUUUUGUGUUUAUAUUUGGGUUUAGGGUUUAUAUUUGAGUUAGGGUUUAGUGAUUAGAGUUUAGGGUUUAGAUUUACUAAGUAAAUGUUUGGGUAUAGUAAACCAUAUUAUAUAUAUUCUAUUUGGGUUUAUAUUUUCUUGAUUAGGGUUUAGCUUAAUCUAUUUAUUUCAAGUAAAUGUGCUUUCAAGUGUUUAAUAUUGGAAAAUAAUUUAUAGAUUGUAUUUGGGUUUAUAGGUUCAUGCCUAGGGUUUAGAUUUACUAAGUAAAGGUUUCGGUAUAGUAAACCAUAUUAUAUACAUUCUAUUUGGGUUUAUACUUCCUUGAUUAGGGUUUAGCUUAAUCUAUUUAUUUAGGUUUAGGGUUUAGGUUAUAUUUGGAUUAGGGUUUAGUGCCUAUAAUUUAGGGUUUAGUAUUUAGAAGGUGAGGAGGUAUGGUUGGGAUGAUCAUUAACUUCUUUCAUGCAAUCAUCGAUAUUUUAUAGUUUCACUUAUAUGUACCAUGUUAUUUAUUUUGUUCCAUUCUAUUUGGGUUUUGUGUUUAUAUUUGGGUUUAGGAUUUAUAUUUGAGUUAGGGUUUACUAAUUAGAGUUUAGAUUUUAGUGAUAUGAACCCGUCAGUGUCGUAGUGUCAGUCUAUUCUAUUCAAUAAUUGAAUAAUAAAACAUUCAUAUAACCUUGCUACUAAACUCCUCUGAAUUAUUGAACGAGAACUAAGUUUAGUUCCUCGUAUACUCUAAAAGUACUAUACUAUAUCCACCGUGUAGUAUAGUAUUAUGAACCUGGAUAAUGUCAUUAUUUGAAAACGGGGAAAACUGUUUAUAUCUCGGAUGUGGGUUGACAUUUCCAGGUUAGAGUUUAGUGUUAUCAUCUGGGUGGGGGUUUCAAUAACUCACCCUCGUUGCUCCUUUACUUGUAUUAGUGAUAUGAACUCAUCCAUGUCGUAGUGUCAGUCUAUUCUAUCCAAUAAUAUGGUAAUUAAACAUCCAUAUAACCUUACUACUAAAGUUUACUUCACAGUACACUGUAAACGUACUAUACUAUAUCCAUUAUAUAGUAUAGUGGUAUGAACCUGGGUACAUUUGAUAUUUGAAAACGUGAGAAACUGUUUAUAUGUUGAAUGUAGGUUGACAUAUCCAGAUUAGGUUAGAGAUAUUCAAUUUUUUAAGGAAUAGUACGUAAUAUAUUGUAACUUUACCAUAUUACAUCAUCUACACAUUUGUCAACAUUUAUUCUUUAAUGGAGAACAACAUCAUUAUAUUUACACAAAUGAAUGGACUACAUUAUUUAUCAAACUAUUGUUUUUCUAUUAUCCUCUAUAUAUUUACUGAAACAAUAAAACAUAUGUGGUUUGUAUGUGUAUGAUGUGACCUUAUUUAAUUUGGCUUAUGUGGUUUGUAUGUGUGUGAUGUGGCCUCAUUAUUAGCCAUAUUUAAUUUAAGUGAUGUGGUAUUACCUUCUUCCUUUCACCUGCUACUUGUUCGAGAGAAGGUUAUAACCGGAUCAAAAGAGGUAUAAUUGUUACUUACUUAAUUAUGUCAAAAUCAUAAGCAUGCACUUUAUUUCACUUAUGAUUUAGGUUAUUCAGCAAAUAAGCCCUUGUUUGUUUUGGCUAUAUUUACUAGUUAUUCGAAAUUGUAAAUAUAUAUUGUAUACUUAAUUGAUUUGUAUCGCUAUUUUGGCCCUUUUUGGUUGAAUUCAGUUUUGAAUUGAGCAACCUAGUGUAAAUAAAGCACAAAAGCUCGUACACCACAGAUUGGGCUGCAAGUCUGGCAUCACCUUACUAAAGGGAUUCUACAAAGCUCAUACACCACAGAUUGGGCUGCAGUUGUUGUUCUGAUCUCUGAUAUGACACGAUGGCAAGGCCUGAGAUAUGCGUUUCAAGCCACCAUGUAUGCGGUCUGGAGAGAGCGCAAUAAACGUAGACAUGGUGAGCAGGGUUUACCACACCAAGUCCUGAUCAAACUCACGGACAAAGUAAUCUGGAACAAGCUCAGCUUAGUGCAGUCUAAAGGCGUAAAGGGCAGGGCCGGGUCUGAGAAAUAUUGGCCCACAAGCAAAAAAAUAUUUUUGACCCUUUGUUUCUAAAAAGUAGUGAUAAUAUUAUAAGAUGCGGUUGCGGAAAAUCGAACACGGAUCCAUCUAUAAUUUCGUUAGGCCCCAAGCCAAUAGAGCUACAUGUUCUUUAUGAAAAAUAAUUGGUCCUAAAACGCCUAUAUUUUCGUCGGGCCCCAAACACAAGCUUGAUGGGCUUCUAUUCAGACCCGGUCCGGCCUUGGUAAAGGGGUUAGAAACUAUCUUGUAAUACUGGUUCGGAACUAGAUUGUAAAUAUUCUUCAUGGGGUUAUGUAGGUUUGAAGCUAUAGAAAUGUUAAAGGAGUAGGAGUAGAAUCUAUUGUUCCUAGCAAAGACACACAUGUACAAAUGCUUUUUUGAUGAAUAAUAAAUUUAACAUUCAUUCAAAAAAAAAACACACAAAAGAAUGACUUCAGUUGACGGUAACUGAAGUUUUGUUAUAUUCUAUACAAUGUACCUUUUCACUUUGACAGAGUGGGAAUAUCCCCUCAUUUACAUACGUUUACUUUAACCCAUGGUAACGUUUCAAGGGAACAGUGGAACACUACCGAAACAGUAAAAAUAUAUCAACAAAGAAACCCAAAAAUGACAAAUAAUGCGUCAAGUUGUAAGAAAAUAAUCAAAAAGGUUUGUUGAUACGAAGAACUGAUCUGGUAGUGACCACCCCUUCAGGCCUUCACGGAUACCUAAUCAACAAGAUUAAUUUGUAACUAAUAGUAAAGUUUUACGCGUGAGUUCAAUAUCUGUCUAGUGUAGGCAAUGAAAUAAUGUAUCUAAAAAGUAAAAAAUAAAAAGUUACUACAUAGUUGUUUCAAAAAAAAAAAAAAAAAAAAAAGUUACUACAUAGCUUUGUAGUUUAACUUAAACUCUAGAAUAUGUGAGUUUUAUUUUGGAUUAGUGAUAAGGGUUUCCGGAGGUAGAAACAUGUUAUAUGUUAAAUUGUAUGUCGUAGUGUAUAAUGUGAAUAUAGCUUAUCGAUAUACGAACUCACUUAACACUGGUAAGAUUAUCAUUCUUUUUAACGAAUGUAAUAGAUAAAAGUUUGUAGUAUAAUUGGUCUAUUCUAGUACCAAAACAUGUAAUUCAGACUAUAAACUAAUAAUGUGCGUGACAGUUCGUAGGAUGAAAAAAGGAAAAACAUAUAAAUAAGUUAAAAGUUCGUUUUCUCUAACUAAUUAUAUUUCUCUUUUGUAGAAAUGCAUUUGAACAACUAUAUUAUAUAUGAUACCUAGUUUAGGUUUAAAGAUUACCGAAAGUUGCUAAUCAUAGUGAGACAAUUAACAAUUUGUUCAAAAAAAAAAAGUGAGACAGUUAACAAAUUCAGACAAAUUGGUAUUUUAAUAUGCUUUAUGAUAAAAUCAGUUGCAAAAAAAAAUGCUUUAAGAUGGUAGAAAAAGAAACAUCAAAUGCGUCUUAUCAAAGACACCAUUCCAACAAGUAGCUAUUCCUAGACCUCUAGUGUCAUAGCUUAUGAAAUAUACGAACUUGAACGUAAGAAAUUGUCUUAAGGUAUAGGCAGAAUCUCUCAAAUUUGACAUGAAUUUAUUAUUAUUGUUAAUUUUAUUAAAUACUUUUAUUUUUUUCAAUUUUGAGGUAUUCAUAAUUAAAUAUUAAUAUAUAUAUGUCAAUUUUCUCAAAUAGAUCUUUAAAUUUUUGUCACAAAAAUAGCACUUAAAAAAUAAAAUGACCAAAAUAGUACUUUUUUGUUUUGAAAAUUUUAAUUUUAAUUUUUUAUUUUUUAAAAUUUGAAACUCUAUUCCAAAACUUCACCCCUUAACUCUAAACUCUAAGGGCAACAUUAUCGGUGAUGGGGGUAGAGUUCUUACGCGUGAGCCCCACCAUCUUUUCCCAAAGCCUGUGCCAAAAUGUCCUUAAUUAACAUACGUUUGCACUGCGUUUGUUAGACUGUUUGCGGGCUCCACUGAAGCGUGGCGGCCCGCAACUGGUUUAUCUUUUUUUUUUUUUUUUUUUUUUAAAAAUCAGAAAAAGGAAAAGAAAAAAAAAACUUAAGAAUCCCAAAAACCUUUUCCACCGAAAAUGUUACUCUAAGUCAGAUUAGUUAACUCUUGGGUAUAAAUACAUAUUUACCUUUUAAUAAAAUUUAUUUUGGUCAUUUUCUUUUUUGAGAUUUAUUUUUGUAAAAAAUAAACUAAAAAAGCUAUUUAAUGGAAUUUUUUAUAUAUAUAUUACAUAUACAUGUGUUUUGAGAAUCCAUCAUUGGGGUUGCCCUAUAAAUUUGGGAUUAAGGAAGGAGAGGGUGAAAUUGGUGACAAAGAUCAUCUUAUACUUCAAUCACACUUUUUCUCUUCUUCUUUUUGCUUUCGGCUCCCUUCUUUUAUGCCUUUUCUUUUUUUUGGUAAAAACCCUUUUUUUAUGUUCCUACUUUUUUUUUUUUUUGCCUCUUUAAGUUUCUUAACCAACUAUAAACGUUUUAAGUGAUGGAGAUUUAUUUAGAUGUAUCAAAUAGGACACAAAAACUAUAAAGUGUAAUAAGUUUACAACAUUUUUAUAUAGAGAUGGUAUAAUUGAUUUCCCAUAUUAGUGGAGAGUGUAAGACCCGAUCCUGGAUUCCUCAAUCCAACCAGACCGCGGCCUCACCAAACAAUGCAACCAAUUCCAUCUUUCAUAUUCAAGUUCAAGUGUUAAAUAAUUCUAAGUCUUUUUCAGAGUUUUGAGGUUCCAACAUUCACACUUAAACAAUCAAGCAUCAACUAAUGAAAAUAGAUACUUCAUAGAUAUUAACCAAGGUUCAUACAUCAUUCAUCAUCCUAAAUAAUAGAAUACAUACUA